GCAUCUUCACAAAUCUUUUUCCUGAAAUUCUCUUUUCAUCCACUUACUAUCAUAUCAUCCAUCAACGAAUAUUUUGCUUUAUAUUGAUCAGCCAAUCUAUUUAUUCAAAUCAAAAUUGAAAUAAGAUUUAUGUUUACCACAUGUAAUUAAAUAAAAAAACACGAGAAACUAUUCUACUUUCAAUUGAUUUUAUUCAACAAUUGACCAAAAUAAAAUAUUAAUAAAUAAUAAAUUGCAUGAACUUAGAUCAAUCAAAUAAUGAUAUUUCUAUGCAUAUGCAAUAAUUCACCCUAAUUAAUUUGCUCAUUUAGAUUGUUUUCGGGUGCAAUAAUGAUAAAGAAAGUGGAAGGGAGAAAAGAAUUUACCAAAAUCGGGGUUCCUGAAAAAAUGGAUUAAUUAUUGAUUCGAAGAGGGGAGUCGAACUAGAAUUGAACCAUCUCUUCUAAGGGCAAAUCCUACUAUUUCUCAAUUGAAGCAACAUAGUAAGAAGGUUGCAAAUAAUUUCAAGGCUUUGUCCUGCAUACAAUCUGCCAUUUUUGAUGCAAUAUUUACCU
This 554-nucleotide long non-coding RNA is filed under the name Olea europaea subsp. europaea. Lineage: Eukaryota; Viridiplantae; Streptophyta; Magnoliopsida; Lamiales; Oleaceae. The record is from RNAcentral.